ACAGUUCGGUCCCUAUCUACCGUGGGCGCUGGAAAUUUGAGAGGAUCUGCUCCUAGUACGAGAGGACCAGAGUGGACGAACCUCUGGUGUACCGGUUGUGACGCCAGUCGCAUCGCCGGGUAGCUAUGUUCGGAAGGGAUAACCGCUGAAAGCAUCUAAGCGGGAAGCCUACCUCAAGAUAAGAUUUCCCCGUGACUUUAUGUCACCUAAAGAGCCGUUCAAGACCAGGACGUUGAUAGGUUGGAUGUGGAAGCAUAGUGAUAUGUGAAGCUGACCAAUACUAAUUGCUCGUGAGGCUUGACUAUACAACACCCAAACAGUUG
RNAcentral lists this ribosomal RNA (323 nucleotides) under Salmonella enterica subsp. enterica serovar Enteritidis. Its description in RNAcentral is "partial 23S ribosomal RNA". It matches the Rfam family "Bacterial large subunit ribosomal RNA", at positions 2626 to 2925 of the family's 2925-position model. Lineage: Bacteria; Pseudomonadati; Pseudomonadota; Gammaproteobacteria; Enterobacterales; Enterobacteriaceae. The record is from RNAcentral.